Molecule: ribosomal RNA, 565 nt
Filed under: uncultured Glomeromycotina
Lineage: Eukaryota; Fungi; Glomeromycota
Description: SSU rRNA
Rfam family: Eukaryotic small subunit ribosomal RNA
Source: RNAcentral
UUGGAGGGCAAGUCUGGUGCCAGCAGCCGCGGUAAUUCCAGCUCCAAUAGCGUAUAUUUAAGUUGUUGCAGUUAAAUAGCUCGUAGUUGAAUUUCGGGGUCAGUAGGUUGGUCAUGCCACUGGUAUGUACUGGUCUCACUGAUUCCUCCUUCCUGAUGAGCCGUAAUGCCAUUAAUUUGGUGUUGCGAGGAAUCUGGACUGUUACUUUGAAAAAAUUAGAGUGUUUAAAGCAAGCUAACGCUUGAAUACAUUAGCAUGGAAUAAUGAAAUAGGACGUUCGAUCCUAUUUUGUUGGUUUCUAGGAUUGACGUAAUGAUUAAUAGGGAUAGUUGGGGGCAUUAGUAUUCAAUUGUCAGAGGUGAAAUUCUUGGAUUUAUUGAAGACUAACUACUGCGAAAGCAUUUGCCAAGGAUGUUUUCAUUAAUCAAGAACGAAAGUUAGGGGAUCGAAGACGAUCAGAUACCGUCGUAGCCUUAACCAUAAACUAUGCCGACUAGGGAUCGGAUGAUGUUAAUUUUUUAAUGACUCAUUCGGCGCCUUACGGGAAACCAAAGUGUUUGGGUUC